Molecule: long non-coding RNA, 278 nt
Filed under: Lathyrus oleraceus (garden pea)
Lineage: Eukaryota; Viridiplantae; Streptophyta; Magnoliopsida; Fabales; Fabaceae
Description: Pisum sativum (pea) long non-coding RNA (PSAT_LNC011779)
Source: RNAcentral
CAAAACCAUUGAAUUUGAAAAAUGUCCAACUUCAAGUGCCUAUAACUUUCUCAUUAAAAAUCCAAAUGAUGAAACAUUUAAGUCUAAAUUGAUCAUAUUGAAAAGAUCUACAACUUUCAGGUUGGAGGUUUUUCCUUUUGAGGCUUGCAUCAUUGAAACAGAAGGGCUUGAAUUUGAUCACUUUUGGUAAAAAAAAUGUAAAGAAAACCUAGACAUGUUUUGUACCUCAAACUUCAAGACCAGUUUUCACAAAUUUCCAAACUCCAAAUGAAUUUUUU